UUUUUGCUCUCCAUAAUCUUCUGAUCGUUUAUUCAAGAUUCGCUAUAUUUAUACUAUACUUGUCACGAAUAUUGGUUACAAAAGGUUACAAAAAGGUUACAAAAAGGUUACACAAGAUACAUAAAAGAGGAAGUAGUUUCUGCUGUUACAUUCAAUAAUCUAAUCUUACAAAAUAUCACAUAUACAUUGUGGUUAGGCAUUUCCUGAUACAUAGAAACUGUCAUAGCUUGUGACUUCCUUUCAAUUAUGUUUUGCAAGCAGUUCUGAAAUACUGACAGAUUAAUUGUUUAACCCCUUAAGGACCAAAUUUCUGGAAUAAAAGGGAAUCAUGACAUGUCAUGUGUCCUUAAGGGGUCAAUAUUCCUUCAUUUCCCCCUCUUUGAGCAAUAUCUUGCUCAUACCCUAUUUAAGGAGUCCUGGUCAGACAACCAGCCAUCUGCCAUGGUAUAUUCAGGAUUGCUAGCCAAUCCUGCAGGUCUUUCAUUAUGUCUUCGGCCACUAUUCCCAUAGCAUAGGACUAGGCAUCUGACCAGUACCUCAAACUUAUAGAUCUGUAUCAGCAUGUUCACCAUUGCUUCGGUUAUGUGUAUACAUUUGGAGAUACUCAUCAUAUCAAGCUGGGGAUUUUACAGGAACAGUGUUGCGUGUAUGUUUGUAAAUGCAGAAUACAAUAAUCUUGAAAAUAGCAUAAACAAGUAGAGCAAGGAUCAGAACCAUAACAAUAAGUAUUGCAAUAUUCUUUAGCCAGUCUAGGAUACUGUCAAACUUAAACAUAUCUGCCCAUGGGUGAUCAAUACCUGAAUUCCUCUUCAUUUCUAUGGACAGGUCUUCUAAUUUCUUUAUAUCUAGGGUUACUUUACCAUUAGGGCCAGUGUUCUCUGGAAUAUAGGUACAACAAACACCGGAGUCAAGUAUUUUACAGACUCCUCCCUUUUCUGCUAAAAUCAUAUCAAGGGCCAUUCUAUUCUGGAAAGUCAUUUGUGAGGUAGCCUGUAAUUGUUCAGCAAGACCUUGUAAUGCAUCUCGUGUAUAAUUUACAAAUCUUUGCUGAUUAUAAUACAUAUAAUUCAUCCAGUUAACAUUCUUGUUAGCUGUUAUAAUGGGAAAUAUUGAUUCAAAUCCUGCUGCCACCUCGUCUCUAGCUUUAAAUUCAUUAGGAACCCCUCUUGGAAUACCAAUGGCAUCUAGAUAGAUAUGUGGGUUGAAACUACCUUUUCCUUCUUGUGGAAUCAGUUACAACCUUAAUUUCAGGGAGAGAGUCGCCAAAUAUAUGGAGGGGCAUGAUUAUUUUGGCUGGGGCACAUUCUCCUCUCCAGGGGGUGGGGAGUCUAGAACGUAUUUUCAUAUCUCCACAUAUUCAAUAAACAUCUCCCACAGAUUGUGUUUGAUUCACUAAGGUACAGAAUCCUGAAGAGAAGUUAUCAAAUUGUGUACCCACCUUACCAUUAUUAUUUCCCUGAAAACAAGUAUAAUUACCAGGACAUACUGGGACAACAUCAUUUAAAUUAAACUUGGGUUCACCAAUAGGGUGACCCUUUUUCCAUUCUUCACAUUCUGUAGUAUUAACAGUGAUACCUGAAAACAAACUUAGGAAACAUUCCCAGUACUCAUCAGGGACAUGUAAGGGUACAGUUCCUAGAUGAGGUCUGGCACUACCACAUACAUAACAGUUUGACCUAUUGUUGGAAUGGGCAUUAUAUCUCAUCCAUUCCAGCCAUAGGUUUGUAUCUGCAUACCCUGUUUCUAACGCUAUGGUAUCUCCAAACGUGGGAUCUGCUAUGGCCAUCAUAUUACCAAGGGUUUGAAUGUGGGGCUUUAGAGGAUUAACAAGAGUUUGUCUAGAGGUAAAAUAUUUAAGGUAAAUUUCAUGGAGUGCCCAGUUUGCCCUAUAGGGGUACAUGUACCUGGCUUUGUUAGGGUCAUUCUAGUCAAGAGGGACUUCCCAUUCGUAUCCUUUUUAUCUAAUGCAUUCUGUGGCUUAUAACCCCAAUCUGUCCCGGUGUUCCAUCCAACUGAGCCCCAAUAAUCACAAUUGUUACCCCUCUUUGAGCAAUAUAUAUUGCUCAUAUCAUCGGAUAACAUUCUCCCAAGACAGAGAAAUUUCCACAUUAUGGCAUUCCCAAGCAAUCAUGUGGUCUACAAGAAACAGAAACUCAGCAGAAAAAAAACAAAACAAAAACCACUUAAUACUUUUGCAGACAGAUAUAUAGAAAAUGGAUGUUUAAGACAGAAUGGAACUUGGGCUUAUAGCAACUAUAUUUUUGCACAACCAGGACCUUGCGUCCUAUAUCUUUUAACCAUUUCCCUAUUCCAAAAGUCCAGUCAAAACCAGUCAUAUCCUCACGCAGUUCCUCAAAACAUGGGAAUCCAUCCCUGGCACACUCAACAUAUAUCAAAAACACACAUAGUACAUCCAUCCCUGGGUCAGCUAACACUUCCUCUCUCUCUGGCUAACUCUACAAAAAUAAAAAUAGUUCAAUAGUUCAGCAUAGUUCAGAAAAAUAGAACAAGUCUUUCACAGAGUAUAAAGAAAUCAGUUUAGACACCAGACAUUUUGUUCCAUAAAAUGGCUAAGGGUAGCAAUAUGGCUGACAACAAGACAAUGUCAGCUUCCACAUAGUUCUUCUUUUGUUUGCUGGAUUUUCACCACAAAGCUCUGUGCAACACCCCAAUGGUUGAAAGGGUUAUUACAGAACCAGCGGUAUUAGACAGCACUGCACCUUCAGGACUUUCCAGGUUCUUGCGUGCAAAGUUUAUGUCCUCAUAAAUAAGUAUCUCAGUUUCUUCGGCCUGCAUGGAUAAUGACCAAACAGAUGUAAUUGCAAAAUACUUAUUGCAUGGUCAGCCAGAGAGAUUGGUGUGUAGUCCCAGAAAUCAGGCGGCACAAACACUCCAGGACGGUCUCUACAAACAUACAAACACAAGGAUCAAUACAACAUUAAUUAAUUACCUAGGCUAAAACUUAAAUUAGAGAUUAAGGUUAAACCCUUAAUUUGUGUAACAUGUACUUCUCUUAUAUUUGCUUAUAUUUUAUGCAAUCUGUCUUCUAUGAAGUUUUACAUAAUACCCCUUUGGAAUGCCUUUGCACGGAUGAGAGUAGCACUCACUCUAUAGAAAUCCUUGUUAGGAUGAAUAUUAAAACACUAACAUAUACAUAUGGGGAUAAUUCCCAAUAACACUCUGUUCCUAAACUGGAACCUUGAUUUGAUAUUCAAAAUUAAUUACUUUAAUAAUCCUGAAUAAUUCAAUACUCUUGGAUUAACACCUAAAACUAUAUUAAAUAUUACAAACAUGAACCAUCUGUGUAUUAGGCUGGGGUUGUUGGGUGUGGGUAUAGGUUGGAAGCUAUGGUUGGUAUUGAGGAAUCUGUGGGGGUGGCUUUGGGCACUCAUUUUUCCAGUGACCCUGCUAUCCACAAUUAGAACAGUGUGUUCCACCAAUGCUGAAGUUGUUACCUCUACAAAAGUUAGACCCUUUGACCAAAUCCUCUACCUCUGCCUUUAUUCCAUAUGCAGGAUGGGAUUACCUAACUCACAGCCCCCUCUUUGUGUACCACACAGAUAUAAUAUUAAUAAGCUUUUAAAGGCUGUAUGGAUAGUUAAAUUGUGUAUAAAAAGCAAGGUUGUCUAGGGGUAUAUACAUCGACAAUGAAAGCAUAGCCUUCAUAUAGGGCUUGCAAUACUGACAGUCUGUGUCAUGAGCGUAAUGCAGACAUGCGGUUAGGUACUUUUCCAUUGUUAUAAUAUAUUGAAAACACUAAGACCUUGCAAAUUUUUAAAACGCAUAUUGCUUCCUGUACCUGGUGCCGUGCAAGGAUGUAAUUGGGACAUAUUUCAAAUUGCAUGUCAAAAGUCUAACCAUAAAACUAAAUGUUAUACGCUUAUCAAGAAAACAAGUUUAACCCGUUAGUGCAUACUUUGGAUAGCCUCUUUGCAUAAUUUGGCUCCUAGUGAGAUUAUUAUAUUUUUUUAUUAAUCCUCUUCUGGAUCUGCAAAAAUGCUUUCACUUUACCCAUACAAAUAUAAUACAGUAGUUUAGGAGAUUAAAAUUACCUCACUUAUAAAUUUCCGAAAUUGUCUAAUCUCUAUUAAAAUACCAUGUUAUUAUUACCCCAUAAUCAAUGAGACAUACUAGAUGAAUCUUACUUUGACACAAACAAUGCAAUAUACUUUAAAAGUAGAGUUAACUCUGAGCUGGACAAUACUCCCCUAUUAGAACUCCUUUAUGAGGGAGAGACAUCUUGUCCAUUCAAUCCUUUUUAUCAGUAAAAGAAUGACUUUCAGGAUUAAUCAGUUUGCAAAUGGAAAUGUGGAGCCACGAUUUGAACAGCAGAAGUUUGCGGGGCCCCUUUCACGUGGGAUGUAACAAGCGCUUUUCGUGCUCCAUAGCGAUAGCAUACAAUUGUUUCAUUCUAGCCGGCUGGACAGCAUUUCACCUUUUGUAAAAACACUAAAUGCUUACGUUAAUGAUAUGCAAAUCACUCUGAUAGUUAAACUCCUACACAAUGGACAAUAAAAUACAUGAAACACAUAACACACCAAUUCAUUUCAAACCAUAUAACUCAUACUCAGCAUCCAAUGUAAUAUUACAUGUCAUCUCACAAAACAGACAUCUCACAAAACAGACAUCUCACAAAACAGACAUCUCACAAAACAGACAUCUCACAAAACAGACGUAGUAGAAACACAUAAUGGAUACCCAGCAGAUAUGCCAAUACAGAAAACACAUUCAUGGGCACGCAACUACACACUCUGUGUCCCUCCUAGGAAACACGGGUAGACACAAUAUGAAAGCAGUCUUAAACUAACACCUCCAAAUCUCCAUUCCCAUAUAGCUAUAUCACACCACAACACAGAGCCUGAGCUCAUAGAACUACUCCAACUCAAACUACUCUUGGCCAGAAUGCUAGUAUUCAACAGCUAAUAAAACCGUUAUUUGCUAGGGUAUUUGACUGGCAUUUUUAUCAGUAUCAUUAAACUGAGACAAACUGAUUCAAAUAUAAUUUAAAACAACACAGCAACAUAUAAAUGAAACCACUUUCCAGGUAAACUGCACACUUCACACAUUAUCACAGUCACCAUUUACACAGAAUAAACAGUUAACAGCUGUACUCUGAACAUAUUAUUGUAAGGUAUACCAAUUUUAGUUUAUAUUAGAUUUAUUUUAGGGAUUCUUAUGUAUACUUUUUUUUUUUAAUUCUUAUUAACUUCGUUACUUUAAUCUACUAUAGUAUUGUAUAUAGAGAAAGGAUCCAUUUAUAUAGCGCGCUCAUAACUCAAAUAUUUGUAUGAAACGUCCAUUAACUAAUCUGAGAUGAUGCUGCAUCAAUUUUAAAUCUUACAGAAAUUUUGCAAACAUCUGGACCAGAUUACACAGACAUGGUUUCACCAGAAUCUUACAGAACUUUCAGAGACUUAAAAAAAAAAAAUUAUUCUAUACCAUGUUUAAAAGGCAUGGCAAACCUUAGACCGGUCAGUCUCCAAGAGCCUUAGUAAAACAGGUAGAAACCUUUGUCCAUAAUCUCUGAUCCAGGCUAUAUACCACAAUUUAAAAUAACAGAACACAUAUAAUGUGAGACAUAGAAGACACAAAACAUAUGCAGUAAUUAUUACACUGGAUCAUUUAAAAGGAAUCUGUUGCAAUAAAAAGGUUAGUUUACAGCGCAAAAUGAAGCAUGUGUUGGACCGCUGAAAAUGUAAAUGUUGCUCUCUUAUUAACAAACAAAAAUUAUAUUUACAGUAUGGAUCCUUUGCAACAAACACACAGGGCAGGGAAGAUGUGCUGAUUGGUAUUCUAUACAAUUAAUCCCAUACGGGGAAUUAACUUUCAAAUACUAAUGAAGUGACAUUUUGUCUCAGUUAUAAAAAUACUGAGCUCAUCAUGCAAACAAUGUAACACAUUUACACUAUCCCACUCUCAUAGAAAGUGUAGUGGGCUUAUGGUAUUAAAGCAACAAUCAUACCAGGCACACAGAUCCCAUGUGAAAUAACUUACAAUACAACAGAGUAAUAAACUUAUACUUAUAUGCAACAGAAAGAAUAAAGCAAAAGAUUUAAGUAGGUCUAUCAGGUACAACCUGCGAGCCAGUUCUUUUCUAAUAUACAGUACUGCUAUCAUAUAUAUAUGUAUAUAUAUUGGUCACUCAGGACCAGAACUUACAUUUCCCAUACUGCUGACUCAGGGUGGACACACUACUAACUUACCAAAGUGUGUCCCCAGUAUAGACAAUCACCCAAUUGAUGGAGAAUCAUUGUUUGCAAUAAAGACAUGGACACUACAAAUGUGCUUUAACAAGAUUCUCAGUGAGUAUAUUUUCAGGGUUAGCAUAUAAAGCAAAAAGAGUUUAACUAUUUCAUAUCCUUACAGUCAGCACUACUGAUUAUAAACCUUAUUUAAGCAUAAAAUACAUAUGAACAAGAAAAGUUAACUACUUCAUAUUCUUACAUGGUAAUUUCCCAUUCCUAGGACAAAUCUUUCAAACACUUAUUCACACUCACAACCAGACUUAACUAAUGACAAUUAGAGGGUGGACAAGGUAAACCUGAAACUCUGUGCACACUAUCGUAGUAUAUUCACUUAUAUACUAAAUUCUCUGUCUAUAUCACUUUAUAGACUUCCUUUUAUCUGUCUAAUUCUCUUAUUAGACCUUCUCUAGUUCACUUACUAGAAAUACAUAUAUCUCUCUGUCUAGUUCCCUUACUAGACUAAUUUAACGGGACCUUAUGUAAAACUGAGUCACAUAAAACACAUAUACUAAAUAACCUUUCCUAAAAUGAUGUAGACUUACAAAACCAUGGGGAUCAUAGAUUCAGGGCGUCAAGAUAGACACAAGGAAUUACUACUCACCCAAAAUGGUUUUGGCUACAAUCCCACUUCUGACACCAAGCUGAAAGGUAAAUCUGCUACUCUGGUGACUCGGUCCCUCUGGUCACUAUUCUCCAACCCUCGAUUGUCAGCUGAAUAUUCAGGGAAGAUUUUUAUGGAAGCGUAUUAACCAGACACACACUUUUUGCUUUCCAUAAUCUUCUGAUCGUUUAUUCAAGAUUCGCUAUAUUUAUACUAUACUUGUCACGAAUAUUGGUUACAAAAGGUUACAAAAAGGUUACAAAAAGGUUACACAAGAUACAUAAAAGAGGAAGUAGUUUCUGCUGUUACAUUCAAUAAUCUAAUCUUACAAAAUAUCACAUAUACAUUGUGGUUAGGCAUUUCCUGAUACAUAGAAACUGUCAUAGCUUGUGACUUCCUUUCAAUUAUGUUUUGCAAGCAGUUCUGAAAUACUGACAGAUUAAUUGUUUAACCCCUUAAGGACCAAAUUUCUGGAAUAAAAGGGAAUCAUGACAUGUCAUGUGUCCUUAAGGGGUCAAUAUUCC
This 7370-nucleotide long non-coding RNA is filed under the name Pelobates cultripes (western spadefoot toad). The record is from RNAcentral. Lineage: Eukaryota; Metazoa; Chordata; Amphibia; Anura; Pelobatidae.